RNAcentral lists this ribosomal RNA (207 nucleotides) under uncultured bacterium. RNAcentral's name for it is "partial 16S ribosomal RNA". It matches the Rfam family "Bacterial small subunit ribosomal RNA", at positions 568 to 774 of the family's 1533-position model. The record is from RNAcentral.
CUCGUAGGCGGUUUGUCGCGUCGGAAGUGAAAACACGGGGCUUAACUCUGUGCUUGCUUUCGAUACGGGCAGACUAGAGGGAUGCAGGGGAGAACGGAAUUCCUGGUGUAGCGGUGAAAUGCGCAGAUAUCAGGAGGAACACCGGUGGCGAAGGCGGUUCUCUGGGCAUUCCCUGACGCUGAGGAGCGAAAGUGUGGGGAGCGAACA